Molecule: ribosomal RNA, 505 nt
Filed under: uncultured bacterium
Lineage: Bacteria
Description: partial 16S ribosomal RNA
Rfam family: Bacterial small subunit ribosomal RNA
Source: RNAcentral
AGUGAACGCUGGCGGUAGGCCUAACACACGCAAGUCGAACGGCAGCACAGAGGAGCUUGCUCCUUGGGUGGCGAGUGGCGGACGGGUGAGGAAUACAUCGGAAUCUACUCUGUAGUGGGGGAUAACGUAGGGAAACUUACGCUAAUACCGCAUACGACCUACGGGUGAAAGCAGGGGACCUUCGGGCCUUGCGCGAUUGAAUGAGCCGAUGUCGGAUUAGCUAGUUGGCGGGGUAAAGGCCCACCAAGGCGACGAUCCGUAGCUGGUCUGAGAGGAUGAUCAGCCACACUGGAACUGAGACACGGUCCAGACUCCUACGGGAGGCAGCAGUGGGGAAUAUUGGACAAUGGGCGCAAGCCUGAUCCAGCCAUACCGCGUGGGUGAAGAAGGCCUUCGGGUUGUAAAGCCCUUUUGUUGGGAAAGAAAUCCAGCUGGCUAAUACCCGGUUGGGAUGACGGUACCCAAAGAAUAAGCACCGGCUAACUUCGUGCCAGCCGCCGCGUAA